ACUCGAGUGGCGAACGGGUGAGUAACACGUGGGUGAUCUGCCCUGCACUUCGGGAUAAGCUUGGGAAACUGGGUCUAAUACCGGAUAAGAGCCAUUCUUUAGUGUGUGGUUGGAAAGUUUUUUCGGUGUAGGAUGAGCUCGCGGCCUAUCAGCUUGUUGGUGGGGUAAUGGCCUACCAAGGCGGCGACGGGUAGCCGGCCUGAGAGGGUGUACGGCCACAUUGGGACUGAGAUACGGCCCAG
RNAcentral lists this ribosomal RNA (242 nucleotides) under uncultured Actinomycetales bacterium. Its description in RNAcentral is "partial 16S ribosomal RNA". It matches the Rfam family "Bacterial small subunit ribosomal RNA", at positions 89 to 334 of the family's 1533-position model. Lineage: Bacteria; Bacillati; Actinomycetota; Actinomycetes; Actinomycetales. The record is from RNAcentral.